RNAcentral lists this ribosomal RNA (400 nucleotides) under Nakaseomyces glabratus. RNAcentral's name for it is "eukaryotic LSU rRNA". It matches the Rfam family "Eukaryotic large subunit ribosomal RNA", at positions 73 to 477 of the family's 3401-position model. Lineage: Eukaryota; Fungi; Ascomycota; Saccharomycetes; Saccharomycetales; Saccharomycetaceae. The record is from RNAcentral.
AAGCUUAGUACGGCGAGUGAGCGGCAAAGCUCAAUUUGAAAUCUGGUACCUUUGGUGCCCGAGUUGUAAUUUGGAGAGUACCACUUUGGGACUGUACUUUGCCUAUGUUCCUUGGAACAGGACGUCAUGGAGGGUGAGAAUCCCGUGUGGCGAGGGUGUCAGUUCUUUGUAAAGGGUGCUCGAAGAGUCGAGUUGUUUGGGAAUGCAGCUCUAAGUGGGUGGUAAAUUCCAUCUAAAGCUAAAUACAGGCGAGAGACCGAUAGCGAACAAGUACAGUGAUGGAAAGAUGAAAAGAACUUUGAAAAGAGAGUGAAAAAGUACGUGAAAUUGUUGAAAGGGAAGGGCAUUUGAUCAGACAUGGUGUUUUGCGCCCCUUGCCUCUCGUGGGCUUGGGACUCUC